AGAGCGCAGGGAGGAUGCCUUGGCAUCAGGAGCCGAAGAAGGACGUGAUAAGCUGCGAAAAGCUACGGGGAUUGGCAAGCACGAUAUGAUCCGUAGAUAUCCGAAUGGAGCAAUCCACAUGGAGUCAAGUCCAUGUAUCAUAUACUGAAUAAAUAGGUAUAUGAGGGGAACCGCCCGAACUGAAACAUCUAAGUAGGGCGAGGAAAAGAAAUCAACCGAGAUUCUGUGAGUAGUGGCGAGCGAAAGCGGAAGAGGCUAAACCGAGAGGAGCAAUCCUUUCGGGGUUUAGGACUGCAUUUAGUACAACGAUUGUUAACCGAACAGCAUGGGAAGGCUGAUCAAAGAAGGUGAGAAUCCUGUAGGUGAAAAUGAAAGUUGACGAGCAGUAUCCAAAGUACCGCGGGGCACGUGAAAUCCCGUGGGAAGAUGGGGGGACCAUCCUCCAAGCCUAAAUACUACCUGAUGACCGAUAGCGAAAAGUACUGUGAAGGAAAGGUGAAAAGCACCCCGGGAGGGGAGUGAAAGAGAACCUGAAACCCUGUGCUUACAAGCACUUAGAGCACGUCAAAGUGUGAUAAGGUACCUAUUGUAGAAUGGUCCGGCGAGUUAUUGUAUGCAGCGAGGUUAAGUAGUUCAGCUACGGAGCCGAAGUGAGAGCGAGUGUUAACAGCACGUUCAGUUGCAUGCAAUAGACCCGAAACCGGGUGACCUAUCCAUGUCCAGGAUGAAGUGAGGGUAAAACCUCAUGGAGGUCCGAACCCACUCCCGUUGAAAUGGUAGGGGAUGAGGUGUGGAUAGCGGAGAAAUUCCAAUCGAACCCGGAUAUAGCUGGUUCUCCCCGAAAUAGUUUUAGGACUAGCCUCGUGAUUAAGAUUAUCGGAGGUAAAGCACUGAAUGGCCUAGGGGUCGAGAGAUUACCGAAGCCUAUCAAACUCUGAAUGCCGAAUAAUCAUGCACGGGAGUCAGACUGUGUGAGAUAAGUUUCAUAGUCGAAAGGGAAACAGCCCAGACCUACAGCUAAGGUCCCAAAGUACGUUUAAGUGGAAAACGAUGUGAAAUUGCGUAGACAACCAGGAUGUUGGCUUAGAAGCAGCCAUACAUUAAAAGAGUGCGUAAUAGCUCACUGGUCGAGUGACUUUGCGCGGAAAAUUUAACGGGGCUAAAACGUACACCGAAGCUUAGGCUUGCAACUAUGUUGCAGGGGUAGGGGAGCGUUGAAUGAGGGGUGAAGUCGUAGCGAAAGCGACGGUGGACUUCAUUCAAGUGAGAAUGCCGGAAUGAGUAGCGAGAAUUAUGUGAGAAUCAUAAUGGCCGAAAGCCUAAGGUUUUUGGAGGAAGGUUCGUCCGCUCCAAGUAAGUCGGAAGCUAAGGUGAGGCUGAAAAGCGUAGCCGAUGCACAAACGGUUGAAAUUCCGUUACCACAGAAAGAUUUAAACUAAGGGACACUUUUGAAGAGCUGAUGCCGGGUGUUGGUUACCCCGGUCGUAAGGGAACGAAAUCAAGUAGUGAAGUCAGCGUGGAUGAAGGCGAGAAAAGCUUAGUGUAUAUCUUAUGUGUCCGUACCGCAAACCGACACAGGUAGGUAGGAAGAGAAUUCUAAGGCCAACGGGAGAAGGGUAGUUAAGGAACUCGGCAAAAUGUCCCCGUAACUUCGGAAUAAGGGGAGGUUUCUACGGAAACCCGCAGAGAAUAGUCCCAGGCAACUGUUUAUCAAAAACACAGCUCUAUGCUAAAUCGAAAGAUGACGUAUAUGGGGUGACGCCUGCCCGGUGCCGGAAGGUUAAGAGGAGGAGUGAGAGCCCUGAAUCGAAGCCCCGGUAAACGGCGGCCGUAACUAUAACGGUCCUAAGGUAGCGAAAUUCCUUGUCAGGUAAGUUCUGACCCGCACGAAUGGCGUAAUGAUCUGGGAGCUGUCUCAACUGCCCGCCCGGCGAAAUUGUAGUACCGGUGAAGAUGCCGGUUACCCGCGACUAGACGGAAAGACCCCAUGGAGCUUUACUGUAGCUUAAUAUUGGAUUUCGGCAUUUCAUGUACAGGAUAGGUGGGAGACUAGGAAACAUAGGCGUCAGCUUAUGCGGAGUCGUCCUUGGGAUACCACUCUUGGAGUGCUGAAAUUCUAACCUGCAGCCCUGAAUCGGGUUGGGGGACAUUGUUAGGUGGGCAGUUUGACUGGGGCGGUCGCCUCCAAAAAGGUAACGGAGGCGCUCAAAGGU
Molecule: ribosomal RNA, 2213 nt
Filed under: human gut metagenome
Description: bacterial LSU rRNA
Rfam family: Bacterial large subunit ribosomal RNA
Source: RNAcentral